RNAcentral lists this unclassified non-coding RNA (19 nucleotides) under Mus musculus (house mouse). RNAcentral describes it as "oocyte_clustered_small_RNA12110". Lineage: Eukaryota; Metazoa; Chordata; Mammalia; Rodentia; Muridae. The record is from RNAcentral.
AACGACGGCCGGCGCAGAU